RNAcentral lists this long non-coding RNA (350 nucleotides) under Prunus persica (peach). Its description in RNAcentral is "long non-coding RNA (PPER_LNC006302)". The record is from RNAcentral. Lineage: Eukaryota; Viridiplantae; Streptophyta; Magnoliopsida; Rosales; Rosaceae.
GGAGGGUGGGUGGGGGGUAUGUAAGGUCAGUGGCCGGGGGGUGCCUGCGGAUAGGUCUUGGUGCGGCUGGGUCUUCCAAAUGGUUUUGAAGAGGUAAGGGGUGUGACGGUGAGGGAAGGGUGGCUGGUGGGUUGGCUAUGAAGAUGGGAUCUACUAGGGGCGGCUGGGAUAUCAAGAUGGGGCUGGGAAGGAUGGAGAGAGAGGAGAGAAGGGAGAGAAUUUUUUUAAAAACGUUUUUCAAGAGAAAAUAUAUUUUUUUAACACAUGGCACUUAUGUGUCAUAUAUCUUAACAAAAUAGUGGGUCCCACUUAUACCCCAUUAGCAUUUUUAAUGGAUUAUUUGACGGAUU